CACGAACCCGACAAACGUUAUUCGGAAUUAUUGGGCUUAAGGGGUGCGUAGGCGGUGCGGUAAGUGCGGGGUGAAAGCCCACGGCUCAACCGUGGAAUUGCGCUGCAUACUGCCGUGCUGGAGUAAGACAGGGGUAAGCGGAACUGAUGGUGGAGCGGUGAAAUGCGUUGAUAUCAUCAGGAACACCGGUGGCGAAAGCGGCUUACUGGGUCUUUUCUGACGCUGAUGCACGAAAGCUAGGGUAGCGAACGGG
RNAcentral lists this ribosomal RNA (253 nucleotides) under uncultured bacterium. RNAcentral describes it as "partial 16S ribosomal RNA". It matches the Rfam family "Bacterial small subunit ribosomal RNA", at positions 524 to 776 of the family's 1533-position model. The record is from RNAcentral.